UGGGGAAUCUUCCGCAAUGGACGAAAGUCUGACGGAGCAACGCCGCGUGAGUGAUGACGGCCUUCGGGUUGUAAAGCUCUGUUAAUCGGGACGAAUGGCUCUUGUGCGAAUAGUGCAAGGAUUUGACGGUACCGGAAUAGAAAGCCACGGCCAACUACGUGCCAGCAGCCGCGGUAAUACGUAGGUGGCAAGCGUUGUCCGGAAUUAUUGGGCGUAAAGCGCGCGCAGGCGGAUUGGUCAGUCUGUCUUAAAAGUUCGGGGCUUAACCCCGUGAUGGGAUGGAAACUGCCAAUCUAGAGUAUCGGAGAGGAAAGUGGAAUUCCUAGUGUAGCGGAGGAAUGCGUAGAUAUUAGGAAGAACACCAGUGGCGAAGGCGACUUUCUGGACGAAAACUGACGCUGAGGCGCGAAAGCCAGGGGAGCGAACGGG
RNAcentral lists this ribosomal RNA (429 nucleotides) under bacterium. RNAcentral describes it as "partial 16S ribosomal RNA". It matches the Rfam family "Bacterial small subunit ribosomal RNA", at positions 355 to 776 of the family's 1533-position model. The record is from RNAcentral.